RNAcentral lists this ribosomal RNA (253 nucleotides) under uncultured bacterium. RNAcentral describes it as "partial 16S ribosomal RNA". It matches the Rfam family "Bacterial small subunit ribosomal RNA", at positions 524 to 776 of the family's 1533-position model. The record is from RNAcentral.
UACGUAGGGGGCUAGCGUUGUCCGGAUUGAUUGGGCGUAAAGAGCGUGUAGGCGGUCAGGUAGGUCUGCUGUGAAAACUCGAGGCUCAACCUCGAGACGUCGGCGGAAACCAUCUGGCUAGAGUCCGGAAGAGGAGAGUGGAAUUCCUGGUGUAGCGGUGAAAUGCGCAGAUAUCAGGAAGAACACCCGUGGCGAGGGCGGCUCUCUGGGACGGUACUGACGCUGAGACGCGAAAGCGUGGGGAGCGAACAGG